Molecule: long non-coding RNA, 485 nt
Organism: Syzygium oleosum
Lineage: Eukaryota; Viridiplantae; Streptophyta; Magnoliopsida; Myrtales; Myrtaceae
Exons: 2
Source: RefSeq, a predicted model, not a curated record
CUGAAUCUGAAGAUGAGGGAGAAGACGACGAAUCUGAAUCUGAAUCUGAAUCUGAGGGAGAAGAUGAGGAAUAAGUGCACGUUGCUCUUGAAAGCUUCUUGAUCCACGACCACAAAUUGUUCCCUCAUGUUCAAACUUUAAACAACUUGAGGGAGCUGCGGCUAAUGGGGCAGCUGUACAAAUGAAGACCAAAUAAAGGAAAAUGAGGAUGACAUAUAAUGUCAACUAAAUUCCCUUUCACGAUCUUGGGGUGGUAUUCACCUGUUGAGUGACAGAAACUUGAAUAUUAAUGACAGAAGUCGUUGCCUAUUGAUGAAAUUGUUAAAUCUGUUAAACUCGGUUUGAAGUUUUAGUUGAAUGUUUGGCCCUUUUUUCCAGAGAAAUCAUUAGAGCAGGGCGGAGGGAUUCAUUGUGCAAUUUGGGGCAUCGCACGUAAUGUUUUUGGGGUUAAAAGGGCUAUUUAAGCAAACCUAAUUGUUUAUUAA